AACAAUUGCCUUUCAGGCAUCCUCUCCCAAAACUUUCCAGCCCGGCAGGCAACUGCCGGGCUAUUUUUUUGCCUGCG
Molecule: small RNA, 77 nt
Filed under: Novosphingobium sp. AAP83
Lineage: Bacteria; Pseudomonadati; Pseudomonadota; Alphaproteobacteria; Sphingomonadales; Sphingomonadaceae
Description: Makes More Granules Regulator RNA (mmgR)
Rfam family: Makes More Granules Regulator RNA (mmgR)
About the family: SuhB later renamed mmgR (makes more granules regulator) was a putative non-coding RNA found multiple times in the Agrobacterium tumefaciens genome and related alpha-proteobacteria.
Source: Rfam by way of RNAcentral